GAUGAAGAACGUAGCGAAAUGCGAUAAGUAAUGUGAAUUGCAGAAUUCAGUGAAUCAUCGAAUCUUUGAACGCACAUUGCGCCCGCUGGUAUUCCGGCGGGCAUGCCUGUUCGAGCGUCAUUUCAACCCUCAAGCCCCCGGGUUUGGUGUUGGGGAUCGGCUCUGCCCUUCUGGGCGGUGCCGCCCCCGAAAUACAUUGGCGGUCUCGCUGCAGCCUCCAUUGCGUAGUAGCUAACACCUCGCAACUGGAACGCGGCGCGGCCAUGCCGUAAAACCCCAACUUCUGAAUGUUGACCUCGGAUCAGGUAGGAAUACCCGCUGAACUUAAGCAUAUCAAAAGCGGAGGA
RNAcentral lists this unclassified non-coding RNA (347 nucleotides) under soil metagenome. RNAcentral's name for it is "partial contains 5.8S ribosomal RNA, internal transcribed spacer 2, and large subunit ribosomal RNA". The stretch from base 1 to 120 matches the Rfam family "5.8S ribosomal RNA", at positions 35 to 154 of the family's 154-position model. The record is from RNAcentral.